GCUUCCAACAGGCAAAACAAUCAAUAUUUCGGUUCCUCUUUCAAUCCUCUACUUGUUCCACCAUGACAUGUUUUUCGGUUUGGAGUUGGAAAAUCACCGGCUGGGAUUAGGAUACGAAUUGCCGUGAAAUUUUGUAGAGCAAAACAAAAACAACAACGAGUACCGUGUUAUGAUUAUUCGAUUCGUGGACAUCAGGUCACACACACAGUCACUGUUUAUGAGCAGUCUCACUAACAUUUGUGCUUCAAACUUCCACCUUCAAUUGACAGAGGCGCUGUUAUCAGUGACGUUUGACAUUUGUAUGGGAAAAAGGACCAGUUGCCAGUCUUCUUGGUUUGUAGUCUUCGCUAUUUUUCAAAGGAUGGAGCCAAAAUUCAAUUUGGCUGAACAGGAAACCCAAAUUUCUAUGAAAAUACGUACAUGCUUAAAAAAUGCAUCAUCACGUAUGGAUUCAGCAAGGUUUAUUCUAUAAAAUCCAAGUCUAGUGGAAUCAAAAUUCAACUUGGCAGAACAGAAAAUCAAAGUUUCUGUGAAAAUACGUACUUAUGUGAAUUCAAACUCGGUUUUCUCAAAAAUUGAGAAGUUCAACCCUCAUGUAUGGAUUCAGCAAGUUCCAUUCUAUGUAAUACAAGCCCAAUUUUAAAACUUAGGAGCCAACAUUCAGUUCGGCAAAACAGAAGAAUCAAAUUUCUAAAUUACUUUUGUGAAUAUUAACUAGGUUCAUCCUUCACGUAUGGAUUCAGCAAGUUCCAUUCUUUAAAAUCCAAGCACAAAUUCCAAACGAUACAACCGAAAUCCAACCUGGCUUCAAAAAAAAUCUACCAUCACGUAUGAACUCACAAAGGUCUAUUAUAUACAAUCCAAGCCUGUUUUUCAAAGGACGGGGCCAAAAUCCAACUUGGCUGGUCAAGAAACCUAAAUUUCUGUGCAUCUCACAAGAACGAGGAAGGGGUCUAGAGGAGCAGAAUCUACGUUAAAAAUUAGUUAAAUCACUUCAGGAAAGCUGAGACUAACAUUAAUUAUAAUUCAAUCACUCAACAGAAAAGUUUGAACUCCCCACCCCUGAAUCACUUCAGAAAAGGUUGGACUCAGUUUGGAAAAUUUAAGCUAAAAAAAGUGUCGGUUCACUUCGGAAAACUUUCUACGUUUUUUGAAAAGCUAGAUGACCUAAACAAGAUUGUGUCCUUGCCAAAUGCCAAGCAGUUAACAAAAAUCUGGGGCUCACUUAGGAAAAUGUCAAACCCGUUCUGACAAGUUUGGAUUCAGUUCGAAAAAGUUGAAUCAAUGCAGGAAACCUUGGAUUAAUUUAGGAAAGGGAUUAAAUCAGCUAAUGUGGCCUCACCCCAGAAAAUGCGAAACCAAUUCUUUAAAGCUCGGGUUCGGGAUAUGUUGGAUCACUUCAGGAAAGCUUUGACAACUUUAAAAGGAUUGAAUAACAUAAAAGAAAAGAUUAGGCUCAGUUAGAAAAAUGUUGUUGACUUAUUCGAAAGUUUAAACUCACUUCAAAAAAGUUCAGACUCAGUUUUGAAUCUGCUUUGAAAAGUUUUACCUCAAUUAGGAAUUUCUUCAAGCCUCACUUCUACAAAAUUUAAACGAAUUUUGAAAAAAAAAAUGGAUUUAGCUUGGAAAUUGUUGGAUCACUGUAGAAAAUUAAGUGGCAUUGCAGCAGGUUUGUAAGUUACGACAUUUAUAUCGAAUGUGAAAAUCGGGUGACUACGAUGGGAUGGGCACAUUGUAACAAUGUCGAAUAACGACCCAAUGAAAAUGGUCCUUGGUAGCGACCCGAAAAGACGAAAAUGUGCGCAGCGAACAAGGGGGAUCGAUCAGAUUGAAGGCGGUUUACCUAGUGAAUUGCCAUACAAGAUUAGAAAUGACGUUCGUUUUCAACAACUGUAACCGGCUGAUCCGAUUUCAAGGACCUGGCAUGCCGUUCUGGUCUAGUACCAAUGCAUGUAAAAAUUCUGUAAAAUAACAAGGUGAUAUUCUACAACAUAAUAAAAUCUAAACUUGAGAUUUGUUCCGGUCUUAUCAGUGCUAAAAUAGUCUGAACAAUGCUGACAGAAACCAACCGACGUCCCACACACACAAAGAUAGUUUACAGAACGAUACGUGCCAACAUUGAAAAUGUGCAAAUGAAAGAGAAUCAACGAAGCGUUUUAGUCCACGGGCUGUUAUCGUUUAAGUUUUAGUCAAUUAUUAUUAUAGUUUGGUUUCAAUUUGGUUUUACGAGAAAACAGUAUAACGCAGGCAGAUAGACUUUAUCGGAUCGGAUCCUUUGAAGCUUGGUGCGGGUGUUGGCCGCCUCAAUACUGUUGAGGAAAAUAUAUGUA
Ochlerotatus camptorhynchus is the source of this 2330-nucleotide long non-coding RNA. RefSeq lists it as uncharacterized. The transcript has 2 exons. NCBI's taxonomy places the organism in Eukaryota, Metazoa, Arthropoda, Insecta, Diptera, Culicidae. The record is from RefSeq and is a predicted model, not a curated record.